GUCCUAGCCGUAAACGAUGGACACUAGGUGUUGGUGGUAUCAACCCCGCCAGUGCCGAAGCUAACGCAUUAAGUGUCCCGCCUGGGGAGUACGGCCGCAAGGCUAAAACUCAAAGGAAUUGACGGGGCCCCGCACAAGCAGCGGAGCGUGGGGUUUAAUUCGACGCAACGCGAAGAACCUUACCAGGGCUUGACAUGACCAGGACGGCGGCGGAAACGUCGCUUCCCCGCAAGGGGCCUGGCCACAGGUGUUGCAUGGCUGUCGU
Molecule: ribosomal RNA, 265 nt
Filed under: uncultured bacterium
Lineage: Bacteria
Description: partial 16S ribosomal RNA
Rfam family: Bacterial small subunit ribosomal RNA
Source: RNAcentral